UCGAGCGCAGGAAGCUCACGGAACUCUUCGGAGGGAAGUGAAGGGAAUGAGCGCGGACGGGUGAGUAACACGUAAGGAACCUGCCCCAAGGAUUGGGAUAACUCCGAGAAAUCGGAGCUAAUACCGAAUAGUUCUUCAGACCGCAUGGUCUGAUGAUGAAAGGCGCUCCGGCGUCACCUUGGGAUGGCCUUGCGGUGCAUUAGCUAGUUGGUGGGGUAAUGGCCCACCAAGGCGACGAUGCAUAGCCGACCUGAGAGGGUGAUCGGCCACACUGGGACUGAGACACGGCCCAGACUCCUACGGGAGGCAGCAGUAGGGAAUCUUCCACAAUGGACGAAAGUCUGAUGGAGCAACGCCGCGUGAGUGAUGAAGGUUUUCGGAUCGUAAAACUCUGUUGUAAGGGAAGAACAAGUACGAGAGGUAAUGCUCGUACCUUGACGGUACCUUGCGAGAAAGCCACGGCUAACUACGUGCCAGCAGCCGCGGUAAUACGUAGGUGGCAAGCGUUGUCCGGAAUUAUUGGGCGUAAAGCGCGCGCAGGCGGCCUUUUAAGUCUGAUGUGAAAGCCCCCGGCUCAACCGGGGAGGGUCAUUGGAAACUGGAAGGCUUGAGUACAGAAGAGAAGAGUGGAAUUCCAUGUGUAGCGGUGAAAUGCGUAGAGAUGUGGAGGAACACCAGUGGCGAAGGCGACUCUUUGGUCUGUAACUGACGCUGAGGCGCGAAAGCGUGGGGAGCAAACAGGAUUAGAUACCCUGGUAGUCCACGCCGUAAACGAUGAGUGCUAGGGUGUUGGGGGGUUUCCGCCCCUCAGUGCUGAAGCUAACGCAUUAAGCACUCCGCCUGGGG
RNAcentral lists this ribosomal RNA (846 nucleotides) under Exiguobacterium sp. RNAcentral's name for it is "bacterial SSU rRNA". It matches the Rfam family "Bacterial small subunit ribosomal RNA", at positions 62 to 878 of the family's 1533-position model. Lineage: Bacteria; Bacillati; Bacillota; Bacilli; Caryophanales. The record is from RNAcentral.